AGUGAACGCUGGCGGUAUGCCUAACACAUGCAAGUCGAACGGCAGCACAGUAAGAUCUUGCUCUUACUGUUGGCGAGUGGCGGACGGGUGAGGAAUACAUCGGAAUCUACUUUUUCGUGGGUGAUAACGUAGGGAAACUUACGCUAAUACCGCAUACUACCUACGGGUGAAAGCAGGGGAUCUUCGCACCUUUCGCGAUUGUAUUAGCCGAUGUCGGAUUAGCUAGUUGGCGGGGUAAAGGCCCACCAAGGCGACGAUCCGUAGCUGGUCUGAGAGGAUGAUCAGCCACACUGGAACUGAGACACGGUCCAGACUCCUACGGGAGGCAGCAGUGGGGAAUAUUGGGCAAUGGGCGAAAGCCUGAUCCAGCCAUACCGCGUGAGUGAAGAAGGCCUUCGGGUUGUAAAGCCCUUUUGUUGGGAAAGAAAAGCAGCAGGUUAAUACGCCGCUGUUCUGACGGUACCCAAAGAAUAAGCACCGGCUAACUUCGUG
This 492-nucleotide ribosomal RNA is filed under the name uncultured bacterium. RNAcentral's name for it is "partial 16S ribosomal RNA". It matches the Rfam family "Bacterial small subunit ribosomal RNA", at positions 29 to 507 of the family's 1533-position model. The record is from RNAcentral.